This 365-nucleotide unclassified non-coding RNA is filed under the name fungal sp. RNAcentral's name for it is "partial internal transcribed spacer region". The stretch from base 1 to 46 matches the Rfam family "Eukaryotic small subunit ribosomal RNA", at positions 1786 to 1831 of the family's 1831-position model. Lineage: Eukaryota; Fungi. The record is from RNAcentral.
AAGUCGUAACAAGGUUUCCGUAGGUGAACCUGCGGAAGGAUCAUUAACACGUAUCCAAACGUUAAACAACCCCGUGAACAUACAACCUGCUCUGGUCGCCCGCUCGCAUGGACAAGCCCAGUAAAUCAAGCCCCGGAAAGUUUUUGAUUUGGGACCUCUGUGCGCGUGAGAAAAACUGACAGCGAUUCAUAGAAGCGGUAAGGACGACUCUUCAAGAUUGCUAGAGGUCGACCACCGACCGGCUUCCGUGUAUACCGAGCUAACACCGCUCCCUUCCGAACCCCACUUUAUUGCCUUGCCUGUAAGCAUCCAUACGGAUGGGCAGGCCCCCCGAACAACUGUUAACAAUGGAUAUCUUGGUUCUC